RNAcentral lists this ribosomal RNA (253 nucleotides) under uncultured bacterium. RNAcentral's name for it is "partial 16S ribosomal RNA". It matches the Rfam family "Archaeal small subunit ribosomal RNA", at positions 474 to 727 of the family's 1478-position model. The record is from RNAcentral.
UACCAGCACCCCGAGUGGUCGGGACGUUUAUUGGGCCUAAAGCAUCCGUAGCCGGUUCUGCAAGUCUUCCGUUAAAUCCACCUGCUUAACAGAUGGGCCGCGGAAGAUACUAUAGAGCUAGGAGGCGGGAGAGGCAAGCGGUACUCGAUGGGUAGGGGUAAAAUCCGUUGAUCCAUUGAAGACCACCAGUGGCGAAGGCGGCUAGCCAGAACGCGCUCGACGGUGAGGGAUGAAAGCUGGGGGAGCAAACCGG